RNAcentral lists this small RNA (294 nucleotides) under Colletotrichum chlorophyti. Its description in RNAcentral is "5' ureB small RNA". It matches the Rfam family "5' ureB small RNA". Lineage: Eukaryota; Fungi; Ascomycota; Sordariomycetes; Glomerellales; Glomerellaceae. The record is from Rfam by way of RNAcentral.
CAUUUGCCUGCUGGGGGCAGAUGAAGUGGAUGUGGGUGUCGAUGCCACCGGCCGUGAUGAUCUUGCCCUCGCCAGCCACAACAUCCGUACAACUGCCGACCACCAUGUUGGGCGUUACGCCGUCCAUGACGUCCGGGUUACCCGCUUUUCCGAUGCCAACAAUCAUACCAUCCUUUACGCCAAUGUCGGCCUUGUAGAUGCCGGUCCAGUCAACGACAAGGGCGUUGGUCACCACCAUGUCGAGAGAUUCAGAGUCGGGCCGGCCCGUCGCUUGUCCCAUGCCCUCUCGCAACG